RNAcentral lists this unclassified non-coding RNA (365 nucleotides) under soil metagenome. Its description in RNAcentral is "partial contains 5.8S ribosomal RNA, internal transcribed spacer 2, and large subunit ribosomal RNA". The stretch from base 1 to 120 matches the Rfam family "5.8S ribosomal RNA", at positions 35 to 154 of the family's 154-position model. The record is from RNAcentral.
GAUGAAGAACGCAGUGAAAUGCGAUAAGUAAUGUGAAUUGCAGAAUUCAGUGAAUCAUCGAAUCUUUGAACGCACAUUGCACUCAUUAGUAUUCUAGUGAGUAUGCCUGUUCGAGCGUCAUUUCAACCCUUAAGCCUAGCUUAGUGUUGGGACUCUACCCUAACCGGUAGUUCCCCAAAAUCAGUUGGCGGAGUUCAGUCGGCUCUGAGUGUAGUAAUUUUCUCUCGCUUUAGAAGUCUUCUGGAUUACGGCCAGAAAGAGACGAGUCUCGCAUCUCGGUGCGUUUCUCAACUUUUUUUUACAAUGGUUGACCUCGGAUCAGGUAGGAAUACCCGCUGAACUUAAGCAUAUCAAUAAGCGGAGGA